Molecule: ribosomal RNA, 254 nt
Filed under: uncultured bacterium
Lineage: Bacteria
Description: partial 16S ribosomal RNA
Rfam family: Bacterial small subunit ribosomal RNA
Source: RNAcentral
UACGUAGGGUGCGAGCGUUGUCCGGAAUUAUUGGGCGUAAAGAGCUCGUAGGCGGUGUGUCACGUCGGCCGUGAAAACCUGCAGCUUAACUGUGGGCGUGCGGUCGAUACGGGCAUCACUGGAGUUCGGCAGGGGAGACUGGAAUUCCUGGUGUAGCGGUGAAAUGCGCAGAUAUCAGGAGGAACACCGGUGGCGAAGGCGGGUCUCUGGGCAUCUCCUGACGCUGAGGCGCGAAAGCCAGGGGAGCGAACGGG